GAGAGGGAGCAUGAGAAACGGCUACCACAUCUAAGGAAGGCAGCAGGCGCGUAAAUUACCCAAUCCUGACUCAGGGAGGUAGUGACAAGAAAUAGCAAACCGGGAACCUCAUGGUUUCACGGUAUUGCAAUGAGAACAAUUUAAAACCCUUAGCGAGAAUCAAGUGGAGGACAAGUCUGGUGCCAGCACCCGCGGUAAUUCCAGCUCCACUAGCGUAUAUUAAAGUUGUUGCAGUUAAAAAGCUCGUAGUUGAACCUCUGUCUGGGGCUAGUUUUGGCUUUGGUCAGGCUAGUUCUAGGCAUCCGCCUACAAGACUUAGAGGGCAUUCAGUUGUUCACUAGGAGGAGUAGGCAUUUUACUUUGAAAAAAUUAGAGUGUUUAAGGCAGGCAAUCGCCCGCAUAUAUUAGCAUGGAAUAAUAGAAUAGGACACUUUUCCAUUUCGUUGGUUAUUGGAAUCGUGUAAUGAUUAAUAGGGACAGUUGUGGGCAUUUGUUUUUAAUUGUCAGAGGUGGAAUUCUUGGAUUUAUUAAAGACAAACUAACGCGAAAGCAUUUGCCAAGGAUGUUUUCAUUAAUCAAGAACGAAAGUUAGGGGAUCAAAGACGAUCAGAUACCGUCCUAGUCUUAACUAUAAACUAUUCCGACUCAAUGUUUGACUGGCUUAUAUAACCAGUUGAGCGUUGUAUGAGAAAUCAAAGUCUUUAGGUUCUGGGGGGAGUAUGGUUGCAAAGCUGAAACUUAAAGGAAUUGACGGAAGAGCACAACCAGGAGUGGAUUCUGCGGCUUAAUUUGACUCAACACGGGGAAACUUACCAGGUUAAAACAUUAGUGGGAUUGACAGUUUGAGAGCGCUUUCUUGAUUGGUUGGGUGGUGGUGCAUGGCCGUUCUUAGUUGGUGGAGUGAUUUGUCUGCUUAAUUGCGUUAACGAACGAGACCUUAACCUGCUUACUAGAUUGGCGAUCAUCAAUCGUUAGCUCUUCUUAGAGGGACUUUGGUUGUUUUAACUCCAAGGAAGUUUGAGGCAAUAACAGGUCUGUGAUGCCCUUAGAUAUCCUGGGCCGCACGCGUCAUACAAUGACUAGUUCAGAAAGUUUUCUCCUGACCCGAGAGGGGAUGGGUAAUCUUGAUAAUACUAGUCGUGUUAGGGAUCGAUCUUUGCAAUUAUAGAUCUUGAACGAGGAAUUCCUAGUAAGUGCGGUUCAUCAGACCGUACUGAUUACGUCCCUGCUCUUUGUACACACCGCCCGUCGCUUCUACCGAGUGGGUGGUCCGGUGAGAUAAUUGAACUUCGCAGGUAACUGAGAGGAAAGAUUAUCAAACCUAUCCACCUCGAGGAAGAAGAAGUCUAACAAGGUU
This 1357-nucleotide ribosomal RNA is filed under the name metagenome. RNAcentral describes it as "SSU rRNA". It matches the Rfam family "Eukaryotic small subunit ribosomal RNA", at positions 386 to 1801 of the family's 1831-position model. The record is from RNAcentral.